GCUUAUAUAGUUUAGAAAGAAUAAUAAUUUUGUAAAUUAUAGGUAGAAAUAUCUUAUAAGCU
This 62-nucleotide transfer RNA is filed under the name Euborellia annulipes. Its description in RNAcentral is "tRNA-Thr". Lineage: Eukaryota; Metazoa; Arthropoda; Insecta; Dermaptera; Anisolabididae. The record is from RNAcentral.